GACGAACGCUGGCGGCGUGCUUAACACAUGCAAGUCGAGCGGUAAGGCCUCUUCGGGGGUACACGAGCGGCGCACGGGUGAGUAACACGUGGGUGACCUGCCCUCAGCUCUGGGAUAAGCCCGGGAAACUGGGUCUAAUACCGGCUAUGACCUUUCCUCGCAUGGGGUUUGGUGGAAAGUUUUUUCGGCUGGGGAUGGGCCCGCGGCCUACCAGCUGGUUGGUUGGGUGAUUGCCUACCAAGGCGAGGACGGGUAGCCGGCCUGGGAGGGCGACCGGCCACGGUGGGACAGAGACACGGGCCAGACUCCUACGGCAGGCGGCAGUGGGGAAGAUUGCGCAAUGGGCGGAAGCCUGACGCAGCGACGCCGCGUGGGGGAGGACGGCCUUCGGGUUGUAAACCUCUUUCGACCCCGACGAAUUUGGACGGUAGGGGUAGAAGAAGCACCGGCCAACUACGUG
This 460-nucleotide ribosomal RNA is filed under the name uncultured bacterium. RNAcentral's name for it is "partial 16S ribosomal RNA". It matches the Rfam family "Bacterial small subunit ribosomal RNA", at positions 28 to 507 of the family's 1533-position model. The record is from RNAcentral.